GACGAACGCUGGCGGCGUGCCUAAUACAUGCAAGUCGAACGCACAGUUUAUACCGUAGCUUGCUACACCAUAGACUGUGAGUUGCGAACGGGUGAGUAACGCGUAGGUAACCUGCCUGGUAGCGGGGGAUAACUAUUGGAAACGAUAGCUAAUACCGCAUAAUAUUAAUUAUUGCAUGAUAAUUAAUUGAAAGGUGCAAUUGCACCACUACCAGAUGGACCUGCGUUGUAUUAGCUAGUAGGUGAGGUAACGGCUCACCUAGGCGAAGAUACAUAGCCGACCUGAGAGGGUGAUCGGCCACACUGGGACUUAGACACGGCCCAGACUCCUACGGGAGGCAGCAGUAGGGAAUCUUCGGCAAUGGACGAAAGGCUGACCGAGCAACGCCGCGUGAGUGAAGAAGGGUUUCGGAUCGGAAAGCUCCGUUGUAAGAGAAGAACGGGUGUGGGAGUGGAAAGUUCACGCUGUGACGGUAUCUUACCAGAAAGGGACGGCUAACUACGUG
Molecule: ribosomal RNA, 505 nt
Filed under: uncultured bacterium
Lineage: Bacteria
Description: partial 16S ribosomal RNA
Rfam family: Bacterial small subunit ribosomal RNA
Source: RNAcentral